GUUCCGUAGGUGAACCUGCGGAAGGAUCAUUAUUGUAUAACCGAGGUGCGAGGGCUGUCGCUGACCCGAAAGGUCGUGCACGCCCGAGUGCCCUCACACACAUCCAUCUCACCCCUAUGUGCACCACCGCGCGGGUCCCCCUUUGGCUUGUUCGGAGGGGGGCUUACGUUUUCACACAAACUUUGUAUGCAGUGUAGAAUGUAUUUUUUGUUUUUGCGAUCACGCAAUCAAUACAACUUUCAACAACGGAUCUCUUGGCUCUC
This 263-nucleotide unclassified non-coding RNA is filed under the name plant metagenome. RNAcentral describes it as "partial contains small subunit ribosomal RNA, internal transcribed spacer 1, and 5.8S ribosomal RNA". The record is from RNAcentral.